CUGGAGCUCCGGAGAGAGAAGGGCUGCGGCAAGCAGGCCCUCGCAAAGUGAAAUAGAGAGAACAUGCCUGAAGCCAGGGAUUGACAGGGCAGCUGACUGGGGACACCCCAGGACAGGAGCCAGGAGGAGCACUGUGCCAGGGAGGAAUCGCCCGAGAUGGACGAGCCGGAGCUGGAUCCAGUAUCACUGCUGGCCAGAGCUGAAUGGGGCUGUGAUUGCCUAGUUUGCCUAUAUGGACGUGCUGCCCCUGUGGAGGGGUUCGUUGGGGAAAGUUUACUGGCAGUGAAGAUGACCAGGAGCACCCAAGACUCACCACUGGAUUGGAACUUUGCUCAGGACUCCUGAACUCUGUGUGCAGACACAUUGCUCAGUGUCUGCCCUUUCAGACUACGCUACCACUGGGCCUGUGGGUGCCUUGUGUUGAAUGCAACCUUGUUUUACCGCUCCCCUUAUGUUUCCCCUUGUUAUUUUUCUCCUCUCAUCCUUCUAAGUAUGGAGCCCAGAGAUCUCUGCACUAUCGUUGUGACCAUUACAAGCACAGGAUGAAUGAUCCUCCAAUAUGUACAGAACCCCAAGAACUGCAACAACCGUGGACAUGACAAUUUCUUCAAGGGCAAAUUGCUGAGGACACAGCGAAAACCAACUCAAGAUUGUUGUUGGUAUUUAUGGAGCAGCUGCAGACAGUCAAGCACCAUGUCUGGCCCUGAGAAAUGAGACCUGACUGGUGGGACUGCAUCAUAAGGCAGGUUUGGGACAACAAGCAGUGGCUACAGAACUUUUGGGUGCAGAAACACCAGAAUGAGAGCUGCACUGACAGUUGAGUAGUGAAAGGUUAGAGCACUAGGGAAGCUUGCAAUACUGGAUUGCAACCAGUCAGCAAGAAAUCAGUUUGGAGUUAGAAAAUCCACAGUGGGGUCCCUUGUUAUGUAAGUUUGUAGGGCCAUUAAUUAUCUCCUGCUAUGCUGAACUGUGACUCUCAGCAAUGUGCAGAACAUAGUGGAUGGAUGUGCAGCAGUGGGGUUCCCGAACUGCAGUGGGGUACUAGAUGGUACUCACAUCCCUAUUUUGGCACCAUCCCACCUUUACACAGAGUACAUCAGCAGAAAGGGCUACUUUUCUAGAGUUAUGGAAGCAUUGAUGCAUCACUGGGAUGCUUCACUGACAUCAAUCUGGGCUGGUGAGGGAAGGUUUGUGACACUCGCAAGCAAGGACAUUCUUUCCUAAUGGGUGGAUUAACACUGGUGAUGUUGAAAUUCCAAUACAGAUUCUGGGGGUCCCCGCCUACUCCUUGACCCUGGCUCAUGAAGCCAUAUGCUGGUCAUCUUGUCAGCAUCAAGAAAAGAGUCAACUACCAGUUCAGCAGAUGCAGAAUGACUGUUGAAUAUACUUCUGGUAGAUUAAAGGGACCAUGGCGGUGUUUACUCACAAGAUGGGAUAUUUUUCUCAUUAAAAUUCAAACAGUUAAAGCCUCCUGUUGUGUGCUGCAUAAUAUCUGUGAGUCAAAGGGGGAAAAGCUGCUGCCAGGGUGAAGAGUGAAGGUGGAGCAUCUGUCUGCUGAGUUUCAUCAGCCAGAUACAAGAGCCAGUAGAAGAACUUGAUGCACAGCUAGAUGGCUGAGGGAGGCCUUGAAAAGAGCACUAUUAUGGUCAGCACAGUCAGAGUUGUGUGGGGUAGUUGCUGUUCUCUACCUGGCCCUGAUGUUUUGGGGGCUGUUAGGAAGUGUGUGGUGCUUGCUGCACAUUUAUAAUUAUUACACUGUUUUUCAUUGAAAUUUGAGUUUUGUGGUCCUGUUUACUCACAA
This is a long non-coding RNA of Caretta caretta (loggerhead turtle), 1801 nucleotides long. RefSeq lists it as uncharacterized. The record is from RefSeq and is a predicted model, not a curated record. NCBI's taxonomy places the organism in Eukaryota, Metazoa, Chordata, Testudines, Cheloniidae.